RNAcentral lists this ribosomal RNA (301 nucleotides) under uncultured bacterium. RNAcentral describes it as "partial 16S ribosomal RNA". It matches the Rfam family "Bacterial small subunit ribosomal RNA", at positions 509 to 807 of the family's 1533-position model. The record is from RNAcentral.
CAGUAGCCGCGGGAAUACGAAGGGGGCUAGCGUUGCUCGGAAUUACUGGGCGUAAAGGGCGCGUAGGCGGACAGUUCAGUCGGGGGUGAAAGCCCGGGGCUCAACCUCGGAAUUGCCUUCGAUACUGGCUGUCUUGAGUAUGAGAGAGGUGCGUGGAACUCCGAGUGUAGAGGUGAAAUUCGUAGAUAUUCGGAAGAACACCAGUGGCGAAGGCGACACACUGGCUCAUUACUGACGCUGAGGCGCGAAAGCGUGGGGAGCAAACAGGAUUAGAUACCCGAGUAGUCCCUGUCUCUUAUAC